CAGCAGCCGCGGUAACACGUAGGGCGCAAGCGUUAUCCGGAAUUAUUGGGCGUAAAGAGCUCGUAGGCGGUUUGUCGCGUCUGCUGUGAAAUCUGGGGGCUCAACCCCCAGCCUGCAGUGGGUACGGGCAGACUAGAGUGCGGUAGGGGAGAUUGGAAUUCCUGGUGUAGCGGUGGAAUGCGCAGAUAUCAGGAGGAACACCGAUGGCGAAGGCAGAUCUCUGGGCCGUAACUGACGCUGAGGAGCGAAAGGGUGGGGAGCAAACAGGCUUAGAUACCCGCGUAGUCCCUGUCUCUUAUAC
This 301-nucleotide ribosomal RNA is filed under the name uncultured bacterium. Its description in RNAcentral is "partial 16S ribosomal RNA". It matches the Rfam family "Bacterial small subunit ribosomal RNA", at positions 509 to 807 of the family's 1533-position model. The record is from RNAcentral.